This is a non-coding RNA of Myodes glareolus (Bank vole), 1524 nucleotides long. Lineage: Eukaryota; Metazoa; Chordata; Mammalia; Rodentia; Cricetidae. The record is from RefSeq and is a predicted model, not a curated record.
GUAAGUAUAAUGAUCAUGGUUUUUUCUUACGUUUUUUAUACUAUAAUUUAUUUUUUGAGUAUUUCACAUAUGUAUACAGUGUAUUUCGAUCAUAUUCAACAUCCUAUUCUCCCCCUUAACUCCUCCAAGAUCCACCCUCCAGCCUCCUUACCACUUCCCAACUUUGUCCUUAAAAAAAAAAAUCUAGGACGUCUAAUUAGUGUUGCCCAUAUACUAAGGUGUGGGGCAUUCUGCUGGAGCAUGGUUGACAUCCCGGGUGCCACAGCCUUAAAACCUGACUUUUUCUUCCCAGUGAUCAUCAGUCAAUAGCUACUCAGUUAGGGGUGGAGGUUCCUGAGCCCCUCCCCUCUGCAUGCUGGAAAGCUGACUGAUUUGACGUUAGACAGGUUUUAUGUCCACACUGACUCUCAGCAGUUACAACACGCCUGUCACACCCAGACGACACUGUCUCUGCCUGGUCCUCCCUGACCACGCACAUAGAGAAGGCACCAGUGACGACUGACUGGCUCUGUUGGACCCACUUCCACCUUUCCUCUGCCUUUGCUUCGGUUAUUGUGAUUGGAAUGACGUAAAUGUUGUGGGAACAGUGAUCAGACAGCGAGAAUGGAGCAGACUGGUGACUGGACUCCGCACUAUCUGCCCUUGUGUGUUUGGAAACCAUAAGAAGGCCGGGUGGAUGCUGACCUCCGGGAAUUUCAUGGCCCAUUACCAUCUUCAAAAUCAGAGCAGUGAUCACUCCUCAGAGACCGACUAAGCAGUGAUUUCAGUGUGCUCUGAUGACUGGCUGGUCGUGAGAAUAGAAAGGAGGCCCUUUGGUAACGACACAGAAUUGAGAGUUGAUGACAUAUACCUGGGGAACAACUGCUCCGUAACCAGGGUCCUGAGCCUCAACUAUGAGUUUUCUUAUCCUGCUGUUUCCUGUGGGAUCAAUAAAUUUGUGUUCCAGGGAAAUGUCUUCAUCUUGUCUGAGAUCAGGUACAGACUGGUUCAGGAGCUCACCCGUAGAUUCCAGGUGAUUUGCUCUGUGAAGAGGCCUAAGUCAUUUUCGACGGAGCCCUUUGGAUUAAAUAGGUACAGCGUGAGCGCCUUCUGUGGUGGGACCCAGAUAAUAGGACAGGAGCCAUCGGCUUCCUCCCAGAGGAAAGCAUGUGAGCCUAGUUUUAGCAGCUCUCAUAAGGACCAACUGCAUGUGAACUUCUGGAUCAAUGGUCCCUGUGUUAAGAAUUCCUUUGUUCCCUGAGAUCCAGAAGUAGUGCAAUGCAAGCCUGGGACCCGGUUUCAGUCACACCAUUAUUUUGUCUGUUUCAAGACCAGUAGUGACAUUUGUGAAACUGUUUAAAUGCCUGUUGGGACUUGGGAGACCAUAGCUCUGUAAUGUCAUGUUUAAAUGUUUUACUGGGUUAAUUCUAAGGGCACUUGUCACCAGAACUUUCCAUCUGAAGGCCGAAGUUCUAAUAAAACUGUUUCUGUACAGGAGCUUACUCAUAAAUCAGGCUGCAUGAUGGCUUCUUCUCCCACAUUAAA